CCCACUAGACUUGUUUCCAACACCCGGUGACCCCACCGGGUGGUGACCCGAGGAGC
RNAcentral lists this non-coding RNA (56 nucleotides) under Streptomyces sp. e14. Lineage: Bacteria; Bacillati; Actinomycetota; Actinomycetes; Kitasatosporales; Streptomycetaceae. The record is from RNAcentral.